CCUACGGGAGGCAGCAGUGGGGAAUAUUGGGCAAUGGGCGCAAGCCUGACCCAGCAACGCCGCGUGAAGGAAGAAGGCUUUCGGGUUGUAAACUUCUUUUCUCAGGGACGAAGGAAGUGACGGUACCUGAGGAAUAAGCCACGGCUAACUACGUGCCAGCAGCCGCGGUAAUACGUAGGUGGCAAGCGUUAUCCGGAUUUACUGGGGGUAAAGGGCGUGUAGGCGGGAAAGCAAGUCAGAUGUGAAAACCAUGGGCUCAACCUGUGGCCUGCAUUUGAAACUGGUUUUCUUGAGUACUGGAGAGGCAGACGGAAUUCCUGGUGUAGCGGUGAAAUGCGUAGAGAUGAGGAGGAACACCAGUGGCGAAGGCGGUCUGCUGGACAGCAACUGACGCUGAGGUGCGAAAGCGUGGGGAGCAAACAGGAUUAGAUACCCCAGUAGUC
This 443-nucleotide ribosomal RNA is filed under the name uncultured bacterium. RNAcentral's name for it is "partial 16S ribosomal RNA". It matches the Rfam family "Bacterial small subunit ribosomal RNA", at positions 338 to 795 of the family's 1533-position model. The record is from RNAcentral.